AACCUCCGCAAUGUGAGAAAUCGCGACGGGGGGAUCCCAAGUGCCAUUCUUAACGGGAUGGCUUUUCAUUAGUGUAAAGAGCUUUUGGAAUAAGGGCUGGGCAAGACCGGUGCCAGCCGCCGCGGUAACACCGGCAGCUCUAGUGGUAGCAGUUUUUAUUGGGCCUAAAGCGUCCGUAGCCGGUUUAAUAAGUCUCUGGUGAAAUCCUGUAGCUUAACUGUGGGAAUUGCUGGAGAUACUAUUAGACUUGAGACCGGGAGAGGUUAGAGGUACUCCCAGGGUAGAGGUGAAAUUCUGUAAUCCUGGGAGGACCGCCUGUUGCGAAGACGUCUAACUGGAACGGUUCUGACGGUGAGGGACGAAAGUUAGGGGCGCGAACCGGAUUAGAUACCCGGGUAGUCCUAACUGUAAACGAUGCGGACUUGGUGUUGGGGUGGCUUUGAGCUGCUCCAGUGCCGAAGGGAAGCUGUUAAGUCCGCCGCCUGGGAAGUACGGUCGCAAGACUGAAACUUAAAGGAAUU
Molecule: ribosomal RNA, 521 nt
Filed under: uncultured bacterium
Lineage: Bacteria
Description: bacterial SSU rRNA
Rfam family: Archaeal small subunit ribosomal RNA
Source: RNAcentral